This 73-nucleotide transfer RNA is filed under the name Phycisphaerae bacterium. RNAcentral describes it as "tRNA-Pro". It matches the Rfam family "tRNA". Rfam says of the family: Transfer RNA (tRNA) molecules are approximately 80 nucleotides in length. Their secondary structure includes four short double-helical elements and three loops (D, anti-codon, and T loops). The record is from RNAcentral. RNAcentral also lists the same sequence under 1 other name. Lineage: Bacteria; Pseudomonadati; Planctomycetota; Phycisphaerae.
CGGGGUGUAGCGCAGUUGGAAGCGCGCCGCGUUUGGGACGCGGAGGUCGGCGGUUCAAGUCCGCCCACCCCGA